UGCUCGUUCUCACCGAAACCACUAUUGGGUCUUCACGCCGUCGAACCCACUUCUCGCGGGCUCGCCAACCAAAUCCUCGCCGCAGAUGGGUUUUGGGACAGCAAAAACAAUCAGAAUUUGAGGAAGAUGUGAAAACCUUGCUAAAUCACGAUUUAGAAAUAUCUGAAGAAUAAUCUGAAGAUGAUCGUCUCGGUUGGUUGAAUGAUUAACCCACACGUUUUAAGAUGGAUCAAAAAUAAAUUUAAACAUGGCAUAUUA
Ciona intestinalis (vase tunicate) is the source of this 258-nucleotide non-coding RNA. Lineage: Eukaryota; Metazoa; Chordata; Ascidiacea; Phlebobranchia; Cionidae. The record is from RefSeq and is a predicted model, not a curated record.